UGGGGAAUAUUGGACAAUGGGGGCAACCCUGAUCCAGCAAUGCCGCGUGUGUGAAGAAGGUUUUCGGAUUGUAAAGCACUUUCGACGGGGACGAUGAUGACGGUACCCGUAGAAGAAGCCCCGGCUAACUUCGUGCCAGCAGCCGCGGUAAUACGAAGGGGGCUAGCGUUGCUCGGAAUGACUGGGCGUAAAGGGCGUGUAGGCGGUUUGUACAGUCAGAUGUGAAAUCCCGGCUUAACCUGGAGCUGC
This 249-nucleotide ribosomal RNA is filed under the name uncultured bacterium. RNAcentral's name for it is "partial 16S ribosomal RNA". It matches the Rfam family "Bacterial small subunit ribosomal RNA", at positions 355 to 624 of the family's 1533-position model. The record is from RNAcentral.